Long non-coding RNA from Camellia sinensis, 711 nucleotides. RefSeq lists it as uncharacterized. NCBI's taxonomy places the organism in Eukaryota, Viridiplantae, Streptophyta, Magnoliopsida, Ericales, Theaceae. The record is from RefSeq and is a predicted model, not a curated record.
UCUUACAUUUAUCAUAAUUUAGUAGAAUUUGCAUCUUAACCCUUUUACCGACAUGGAUUUCACCUUUUUUCUAGAUAAUUAUCAUUCUACGAAACACAUCCUUUGAGAAUAAACUUUACAUAGACACCUCUCUGCUAAUUAGCCAUAGCCCAUCUCUUUAUUUUGGCUCUGUAAAUUGCAAUCUCUCUCUCUCUCUCUCUCUCUCUCUAUCUCUCAGUGAGGAUGAAGCUCUUAAUGCGUAUAUUUUUAGCUGUUCUCCUUGUGACGAUGCUUUUCCAGCCUUCAGAGAUGAGUAGCACAUGCAGGAAAGUGAGCAAGGUGUAUAAAGCAUUUUGCCCAGGGGAUAGGGUCUGCAAUGAUACUUGCAAGCAAGAGGGCCUUAAUUCUGGUUUUUGCCAACUAGUCCCUAAACAUCAAGUUUGCAUGUGCUUUUAUUCUUGCCAUUAAAUAGAGAAAGCCUGCCCGUGCCUGCGUGUAUGGAAGAAUUUUAUAGAAUGAUACACAGAUAUGAGAUAAAUAGAUGACUUAUCUUUUUAUUUUAUAUCGUUGUCUCAUUUUUUUGAAUUUUUUCUGUAUUUUUAGCACAACUAUCCUAAAUAAGAGCUUCUCUUGUCAUUAGAAUGUCUUUAUAUCAGUGUGAUACAAUAAAACUUUUUCAUACAACCUUUUGGAUAACAUGUGAAAAAAUAGAUUAUGAUCCUGUCAAUUUCA